ACUUAACCCCCACGCCGCCGGAGACGCUGCCGGGGCGGGGCCGGCGGGCUCGGCCAAGGUCCCUCUUGUUCCUGGCACUCGUCGCUCCGGGUUCCCCUCGCCCCGGGCCCCGUCGCUGCUCGCCCGCGCCGCACCCCGCUGCAUUCUUAGUGUUGCAGCUGGGCCACUCCAGGCGCCCACCCAGCAGGCCGCAGGGCACGCGGACGCCGGGCCCUGUCCUGCCCGGACAGGAAGUGGGCCCGAGUUUCCCACUCCCGACGCCCGCUCCUUCCUCCGCGGAAAAGGAAGGCCCGGGCGGGCGCGGGCAGCCGGAUAUUCCCUGGGGUGCAAGCUGUGGCCGUGGGGCGCUGAGAGCCGCGCAGGUUCAGUGGAGGAGGAAACUGCGUGCUGGCCUUCUAGCUGACCACUGCACGCUGCAAGAACGGUUGAUGGAGUACUUAUUGAGACCUUGCAGUGGUUGGAUCACUUGCUCUGGGGAAACCAGCUACCAUCUUGUAAGGAUGCUCAAGCAGCUUAAUGAAGACAUCCUGAUGGCAUGGAACUGGGGCCUCCCGACAACAACCAGCACUAAAUCCAGGUGUGCGAGUGAGCUAUCGUGGCAGCUGAUCCCCCAGCUCCAGUCAGACCUUCAGAUGACUGCAGACCCAGCUGACCUGCUGGUUACAAAGCGAUGAGAGACCCUGAGCCAGAACUAGCCAGGCUUGUCCCUCAUGGUUACAAAGUGGCUGCAGCAGCUCCAGGCACUCCAUCGUUCAUACAAGACCCAACAUCAGACGAGAAGAAGAGGAGCAUUUUGAAGUAUAAAGAAGACUUUCCCAGAAACCCUGGAAUCCCCUCACACCUCACUGGCCAUAAUAGCACCACAAGACCAUUCCUAAAACAGUCAUCAGCAAGGCCCAUGAGCCUCACAAAUGCCACCAACACAACAGGCACUGCCGGAGUGUCUGGCUGAAGGGUCCCCAGCUUGCCAAAGCGGAGUGUGCUCUGAUGGUCCAGCACGUGCAACGGCACCUCUCACAAGAGGAUGAAACUUCACGGCCAUCAGAUGUUCCUGCCCCUGGUACCACAGUGGUUCAGUGCAAUGGGUGGCAUACCAGGGGCAAGGCGGUGGGAGUGGCAACCAUGGGGGCAGGACCAGGGGCUUGCAUGAUCUGUAAAGAAUCUUAAAACAAUAAUAAACCUCGAAAGGCAAUGUUGUGUCCUGCACUGAAUCCCGAAACAGAAAGAGGGCCAUAGUGGAAAUACUGCUAAAAUCCAAAUAAAGUCUGUUGUUUGCUUAA
Artibeus jamaicensis (Jamaican fruit-eating bat) is the source of this 1280-nucleotide long non-coding RNA. RefSeq lists it as uncharacterized. The record is from RefSeq and is a predicted model, not a curated record. The transcript has 4 exons. NCBI's taxonomy places the organism in Eukaryota, Metazoa, Chordata, Mammalia, Chiroptera, Phyllostomidae.